RNAcentral lists this unclassified non-coding RNA (300 nucleotides) under uncultured Pucciniomycotina. RNAcentral's name for it is "sequence contains 5.8S rRNA gene, ITS2". The stretch from base 1 to 71 matches the Rfam family "5.8S ribosomal RNA", at positions 84 to 154 of the family's 154-position model. The record is from RNAcentral. Lineage: Eukaryota; Fungi; Basidiomycota.
GUGAGUCAUCGAAUCUUUGAACGCAUCUUGCGCUCUUUGGUAUUCCGAAGAGCAUGCCUGUUUGAGUGUCAUGAAACUCUCAACUCCACAAGUUUUGUAAUGAGAUUUGUGUGGGCUUGGAUCUUGAGUGUUGCAGGUGUUACAACCAGCUCAUUCGAAAUACAUUAGCGAUCACGCAUUUGGCGUUGGUUUGACUUGAAGUGAUAGUAAUACAUUUCCUUCAAGGACACUUCCCUUUAAACGGACAGUGACCACACCCUUUGCCAGAACGCUCAUAAAACCCCAAAUUACAUCAUGAUU